UGAGUGAACAAGAAAUAAGGUAACAAGUAACAGGGAAUACCGUAUUAUAUAAGAUUAUAGGUCAAUGAAAUUUGUGUAUAAUCUUUAUUUAUUAAUAAAUUAAUUUUUUUACAAUGUUGUUAUUGAUUUUAAUUUCAAUUUUCAAAUAAAUACAGGUAAACAUUUUUGUUUUAUAAGUGGAUGGUUUCACUACUGUGACACGAAGUUGUUUAUAUGCACUAUGCUAUUGUCUCCGCUUCAUUUUGGUGUAGGUCUCCUUCUCUGACGCUGAGCUGAGCAACAUGGCGGAUAUCUCCAAGGUUGAGCUGAAGAAAGAAAUUGCCGCCAUUCUUAAGGAUGCGGACCUCAACCACAAUGUCGGCAAAGAAAGUCAGAGAAGAAAUUGAGGAGAAACUUGACUGUGAUCUUUCCAGCAGG
This is a long non-coding RNA of Homalodisca vitripennis (glassy-winged sharpshooter), 417 nucleotides long. RefSeq lists it as uncharacterized. Lineage: Eukaryota; Metazoa; Arthropoda; Insecta; Hemiptera; Cicadellidae. The transcript is spliced from 3 exons. The record is from RefSeq and is a predicted model, not a curated record.